RNAcentral lists this transfer RNA (68 nucleotides) under Marmota monax (woodchuck). RNAcentral's name for it is "tRNA.Asp". The record is from RNAcentral. Lineage: Eukaryota; Metazoa; Chordata; Mammalia; Rodentia; Sciuridae.
GGGGUUGCGGCUCAGUGGUAGAGCACUCGCCCAUCACGUGUGAGGCACUUGUUAGAUCCUCAGCACCA